AAAGCAGGACGGUCCGUCGCCGGCCCUUCGGGGCGGGAGGAAAGUCCGGGCAACGCAGGGCACCGUGCUUCCUAACGGGAAGUCGCUCGUGAGGGUGAGUACACGCAACAGAGAACAGACCGCCUACGGGUAAGGGUGAAACGGCGGGGUAAGAGCCCACCGCCAGUUUGGUGACAAGCUGGGCCGUACGCUCCUUAUGUUGCAAAACCAAGUAUACCGACGUAUGUAGGGUUGCUCGCCCGAUGUCGGGGGGUAGGUCGCUCGAGCCCGUCGGUGACGGCGGGCGUAGAUAAAUGACAGACGCCCUUUCGGGGGUACAUAACCCGGCUUACAGGCCUGCUUUCGCC
Molecule: RNase P RNA, 347 nt
Filed under: Paludibacteraceae bacterium
Lineage: Bacteria; Pseudomonadati; Bacteroidota; Bacteroidia; Bacteroidales; Paludibacteraceae
Description: RNase P RNA component class A
Rfam family: Bacterial RNase P class A
About the family: Ribonuclease P (RNase P) is a ubiquitous endoribonuclease, found in archaea, bacteria and eukarya as well as chloroplasts and mitochondria.
Source: RNAcentral